GACGAACGCUGGCGGCGUGCUUAACACAUGCAAGUCGAACGGAAAGGCCCCUUUGGGGGUACUCGAGUGGCGAACGGGUGAGUAACACGUGAGUAACCUGCCCUUGACUUCGGGAUAACUUCAGGAAACUGGGGCUAAUACCGGCAAGGAAUCCUUGCUGCAUGGUGGGGGUUGGAAAGCUUCGGCGGUUUUGGAUGGACUGGCGGCGUAUCAGCUUGUUGGUGGGGUAGUGGCUUACCAAGGCUUUGACGGGUAGCCGGCCUGAGAGGGCGACCGGCCACACUGGGACUGAGAGACGGCACAGGUGCCGACUGGAGGAAGCAGUGGGGAAUAUUGCACAAGGGGCGGAAGCCGGAUGCAGCAACGCCGCGUGCGGGAUGACGGUCUUCGGGUUGUAAACCGCGUUCAGCAGGGGCGAAGCUUGUGGUGACGGUACCUGCAGAAGAAGCACCGGCUAACUACGUG
RNAcentral lists this ribosomal RNA (465 nucleotides) under uncultured bacterium. RNAcentral's name for it is "partial 16S ribosomal RNA". It matches the Rfam family "Bacterial small subunit ribosomal RNA", at positions 28 to 507 of the family's 1533-position model. The record is from RNAcentral.